UAAAGGUUUGGUCCUGGCCUUUUUAUUAGUUAGUAGUAAAAUUAUACAUGCAAGUAUCAGCAGCCCAGUGAGAAUGCCCUUAAAAUCUUAUACAGAUUAAGAGGAGUAGAUAUCAAGCACACCAAUUGGUAGCUAAUGACAUCUUGCUUAGCCACUCCCCCACGGGUUACAGCAGUAACAAAAAUUUAGCAAUUAACGAAAGUUAGACUAAGUUAUACUACUUUAGGGGUGGUAAAUUUCGUGCCAGCCACCGCGGUCAUACGAUUAACCCAAACUAAUAAAUAUCGGCGUAAAGCGUGUCCAGGAUAAUAAUAACAAUAAAGAUAAGUUAUUUCUACACUGUAAAAUGUUAUAGAAAUACUAAAAAUAAACCACGAAAGUGACUUUACUACUCCUUACUACACGAUAGCUAAGACACAAACUGGGAUUAGAUACCCCACUAUGCUUAGCCCUAAACUUAAAUAAUUUAAAACAAAAUUAUUCGCCAGAGAACUACUAGCAACAGCUUAAAACUUAAAGGACUUGGCGGUGCUUUAUAUCCACCUAGAGGAGCCUGUUAUAUAAUCGAUAAACCCCGAUAUACCUCACCACUACUUGCUAAUUCAGCCUAUAUACCGCCAUCUUCAGCAAACCCUUAAAAGGCAAAAUAGUAAGCUUAAUAAUACCCGUAAAAACGUUAGGUCAAGGUGUAGCCUAUGUAGUGGUAUCUAAUGGGCUACAUUUUCUGGUCCAGAAUAUUUAACGGAUAUUUUUAUGAAAUUAAAAAUUUAAGGAGGAUUUAGUAGUAAACUAAGAAUAGAGAGCUUAGUUGAAUUAGGCCAUGAAGCACGUACACACCGCCCGUCACCCUCCUCAAGUAAAUACAUUUUCCCUAAACAUAUUUUCACUAAUAAAAUACAAGAGGAGAUAAGUCGUAACAAGGUAAGCAUACUGGAAAGUGUGCUUGGAAAACU
This 953-nucleotide non-coding RNA is filed under the name Eremitalpa granti (Grant's golden mole). RNAcentral describes it as "12S ribosomal RNA". It matches the Rfam family "Bacterial small subunit ribosomal RNA". The record is from RNAcentral. Lineage: Eukaryota; Metazoa; Chordata; Mammalia; Afrosoricida; Chrysochloridae.